GGGCCAGGGGGCCUUGCUUAUAUAGUCCUCCCCUUCUAUGCGUUUUUGGGUCGAUAGGCGAGGUGGUACUAUGUUUUUCUUGAUCCAAUAGGUCGGUGGAAUAUCCCGAGCGAAGGAGUCCUGAAUUGACUCCAGCAGGGGGGCGGGCGCCCAGGCUACCAGGGCGGGCGCCCUGGGCCUGGCCCAGCUUCGCCUCCGCUUCGGUCUCGUGGCUUCUGGAGUCUUCUAGAUGAUGUAAAAUUACGCGGUGCGUUGAUAUCUCUAUGUAAUCCCGACAUGUGGGCCUUUCUUCCUUAUUUCCUGAUAACCCCCUGCAGAAAUAGAUAAACAACAAAACUCGUGGAAUUUUGUCAGAUCAAACCCUAAUUCUAGGUGAUGGUUGCAUGUUGGUCCUUUCUCAUGUUUAUUUGAUAAUUAAAAUUGAUAAUUAAGAACCGUCAACAAAUACCCCCAUACUUAGGCUUUUACUCGUCCUCGAGAAAAGGAUGGUUAAGAAUAAUAUCUGGGGUAAACAUUUAAAACAUUCUCUUUAUAAUUGCAGGGUGUUAAAAAUUCCACUGUGUACCAUAGUCAGGGAUGUGUAUGGUUAAGUGUAAAGAUUCUUUCUUUUCAAUCCUGUCACUUGGAGUUUUUGUAUAUUUUUGAAAGAAAGUUAGCAUACCUUUUUGAUCCUCAUAGGUUCUCUCAGAUCACUCAUUAUCUUUUAUAUAUAUAUCUCACUGAGGCUGUUUUAUUUUGCAAAAAUUCUCAAGCAUACUUACUUUGGAUUUAUUGCCUGAUCAAAACGGGAUCUGAGGAGGGAAAUGUCAUACUCUUAGAUCAAAGACUUUGGAAAUUAAAAACUUUGUCAACUCUUGCUGGCAUAUUGCUUAUUAGAGGGACCAUGGGCUAUCAUUUUUUUUCUCUUUUUUUUAAGUGGAUACCGAGGUACCCCUAAUUCUACUGCCGGACACUUGUCCAUUUUUUCUGCGAGGUUGUCGAGCACUUGCUCCUUUUUAUUUCCUCGAAAUAUCUUCUAUUUUUGCAUAGCCCAUGCCUCUAAUGCAAUAAUACUUCGGAAGAGUGAAUCUUACUGAAAUAAUGUCUUGAUCUUAGGAGCAUGAUAAAUCUCUCAACAAGGGUCUAACUCAUUUUGAACAAACUCAAUACAGAGCAGAUAGCUUUUAUAAUCAUAUUUAAUAUUUCAGUUUUAUCAGGCAUAAAAAACACUGAGGAUGGUAGCUAGGAAUUUGAACAUUUUCAAAUAAAUUCUCCAAGCAACAAUGAUAUCAAGAAUAAGAAACUCAUACUCUACCAUCACAUAUUCCAUCUUGACUUAAGUAACACAGGGUUUUAAAAAAUGAUUUUAUACUAAUUGCAAGUUUUUAGGAAAUAUCACAGAUUGAGAUUAAUCAUGAUUAGAAAUAUUUUAAUCUUUUUAUUUUAUCAUGUCGGGAACAAUAUUCUGCAUAAUCUAAAAUAUAUAUAUGUGUAGAGUAAAGUGUGCAGAGUGUGUACCUGAAUCAUGGAGUGGUGUAGUCGAAGUGUGUUUUGCAUGUCGAGGGAUCUCCCCCAUACUUGUUUUCUGCUUUCUUGCACAAAAAUAAAGUAGAGACACACAAGACAUAAUAAUAAUACUCUUUAUUGAUCUUGAGGCAUUUAUUACACAAGGAAGAACAAAAUUAUUUUUGGCUAUUCUCUCCCGGAUUAGAAGUAGAAUAUUUUUGGGUGAUUCUGAAGAUGGAAAUGUAUGGAUAUAUGUGGAUGGUACUUCCGGAGUAGAAGUAACAUGUGUGAGUGAACGUGCAAGUGAAUCUUGAUUUAAUGACAAGCUCCUAAGGGUCUAAACAGCUUGACCACACUCAAUGCUCAUAAGCAAUAAGUAAAUGUGUGGCUCGAAGUCUAGCAAGCAUGUAUAUAUGGCUGUGGUAGGAAUUUAAACUCUCAUCAUACAGGAACUCAUCAUGCAACAUUUUAAAGAUUUCCAAAGAUAAAAUUCUCCAGAAUUCUAGCAUCUCUAGAAACAGACAAACAGCAGCUCAACCUUCCCAUAUCGUAU
Molecule: long non-coding RNA, 2038 nt
Filed under: Sorghum bicolor (sorghum)
Lineage: Eukaryota; Viridiplantae; Streptophyta; Magnoliopsida; Poales; Poaceae
Description: long non-coding RNA (SBIC_LNC004526)
Source: RNAcentral